GAAAUUUUAUGUACUCCAUCAACUUCGAAUUUACUAAUGACUUCUGCACCAUCGCCUCAGCCUGUGAUUACUGUUUUGGAGAUUUCUAAAACUAAUGCAGAGAAGUGUAAUGCCUAUUACUAUCGUUAUAAAA
RNAcentral lists this long non-coding RNA (133 nucleotides) under Polistes fuscatus (common paper wasp). RNAcentral describes it as "uncharacterized LOC122517963". The record is from RNAcentral. Lineage: Eukaryota; Metazoa; Arthropoda; Insecta; Hymenoptera; Vespidae.